This 835-nucleotide ribosomal RNA is filed under the name Microbacterium radiodurans. RNAcentral describes it as "bacterial SSU rRNA". It matches the Rfam family "Bacterial small subunit ribosomal RNA", at positions 84 to 931 of the family's 1533-position model. Lineage: Bacteria; Bacillati; Actinomycetota; Actinomycetes; Micrococcales; Microbacteriaceae. The record is from RNAcentral.
UGGGUGGAUCAGUGGCGAACGGGUGAGUAACACGUGAGCAAUCUGCCCCUGACUCUGGGAUAAGCGCUGGAAACGGCGUCUAAUACCGGAUACGAGCUGCGGCCGCAUGGUCGGCAGUUGGAAAGAUUUUUCGGUCAGGGAUGAGCUCGCGGCCUAUCCGCUUGUUGGUGAGGUAAUGGCUCACCAAGCGUCGACGGGUAGCCGGCCUGAGAGGGUGACCGGCCACACUGGGACUGAGACACGGCCCAGACUCCUACGGGAGGCAGCAGUGGGGAAUAUUGCACAAUGGGCGGAAGCCUGAUGCAGCAACGCCGCGUGAGGGAUGACGGCCUUCGGGUUGUAAACCUCUUUUAGCAGGGAAGAAGCGAAAGUGACGGUACCUGCAGAAAAAGCGCCGGCUAACUACGUGCCAGCAGCCGCGGUAAUACGUAGGGCGCAAGCGUUAUCCGGAAUUAUUGGGCGUAAAGAGCUCGUAGGCGGUCUGUCGCGUCUGCUGUGAAAUCCCGAGGCUCAACCUCGGGUCUGCAGUGGGUACGGGCAGACUAGAGUGCGGUAGGGGAGAUUGGAAUUCCUGGUGUAGCGGUGGAAUGCGCAGAUAUCAGGAGGAACACCGAUGGCGAAGGCAGAUCUCUGGGCCGUAACUGACGCUGAGGAGCGAAAGGGUGGGGAGCAAACAGGCUUAGAUACCCUGGUAGUCCACCCCGUAAACGUUGGGAACUAGUUGUGGGGUCCAUUCCACGGAUUCCGUGACGCAGCUAACGCAUUAAGUUCCCCGCCUGGGGAGUACGGCCGCAAGGCUAAAACUCAAAGGAAUUGACGGGGACCCGCACAAGCG